This 312-nucleotide ribosomal RNA is filed under the name uncultured bacterium. RNAcentral describes it as "bacterial SSU rRNA". It matches the Rfam family "Bacterial small subunit ribosomal RNA", at positions 32 to 324 of the family's 1533-position model. The record is from RNAcentral.
AAUCAACGCUGGCGGCGUGCCUCAGACAUGCAAGUCGAACGCGAAAGGCCCCUUCGGGGGCCCGGUAGAGUGGCGCACGGGUGAGUAACACGUAGGUAAUUUGCCUUCGGGUGGGGAAUAACAGCCGGAAACGGCUGCUAAUACCGCAUAAUGCAGCGGCUCGACAUCGAGACAGUUGUUAAAGCGGGGGAUCGCAAGACCUCGCGCCUGAAGAGAAGCCUGCGGCAGAUAGCUUGUUGGUGAGGUAAUGGCUCACCAAGGCGACGAUCUGUAACCGGCCUGAGAGGGCGGUCGGUCACACUGACACUGACA